RNAcentral lists this long non-coding RNA (2667 nucleotides) under Triticum aestivum (bread wheat). RNAcentral describes it as "long non-coding RNA (TAES_LNC006773)". The record is from RNAcentral. Lineage: Eukaryota; Viridiplantae; Streptophyta; Magnoliopsida; Poales; Poaceae.
UUUUUUAUUUUUUUAUUUUUUUUAUUUAUGUUCCCAGAGAAUAUUCCAAUUCUGGCAUGUGGAUUCUAUCCAUUUCGGGCAAGUCCAUUUCUGGACGUUGCCAAUUUUGGAAUAUGCCAUUUCUGUUUUAUACCAUUUAGGGCAGGUUGUCUCUUUAUGCAUUUGUGAUGAUUUUUCUACAGCAACCCUAACAUAUUAUAUAUGUUUUUGAGGUAGAAAAUCCCACCAAUCCAGUGGUGGCAUUAAUUUCUGCAUUUGAGCAAGUUCAUGAACAUGUCGUUUUACAUCAUGAUGUUGUCUUGUCAUUUUUGUGUGGAUUAUUUCAAGCAUGCUAUGAGAUUGUUUUGCACAUGAGUAGCUUCAUUUCCAUGCCUACUUCAUGCUAGUACUUGUUCCAUGACAUGACUUGCCUGGUAGUGAGUUAAUCAAGCUUGUAAAGAUGCCAUGUUAAAUCUGUUUUCUGCUAUGCCUUGUAAUUCCACUAAGGCUGUAGAUACUGUUACCUUGUGCAGUAUUGCCAUGCUAUUUUAGUCAUGCUCUAGUGGUUUUUAGAUUGAGCUCAGUGUUCAUGUUUUGUAGAGCAUCUCCUGUACAUCAAUGUUAUGCAUCUUGUUCAUAUGUUUGGGUGCUAUAUCUUAUUCAUACUUUGCAUACAUGUGGCCAUGUUGCUGUUUGCAUCAUAUCUUGUCUUGCUUGCCUUUUGCAAACCGUGUACCCGAAUCCGGUGAUCUCUAUAUCGAUUCCAACCGAAAUCAUCUCAUCUUGCCAGCGGCAUACUUGGUUUGCCAAGUUGAUGCCUUGUUCAUCAUCUUUCCUUCCGAAACACGCAUAUGCUUUGCAUAUCACCUCUCGCAUAUCAUGACAUGUUUUGCAUCAUGAUGCUUGUGCAUUGCACCGUGAUUUAUUGUGGUUCCUUGCUUGUGUUCUUGCUUUGGGUAGAGCCGGGAGACGAGUACGUGCACGAGGAACCUGUUGAGUACGCUAACGAGGAUCAAGCCUUCGACUACUCUAAGAACCUUGCAGGCAAGAUGAUCAUACCUUAGAUAUCACUUCUAUCUUUGCUUGCUAGUACUCGCUCUAUCGCUUUGUUAGCUCUACCUGCCUUUGUUUACCAUGCCUCCCUAUUGCCAUGUUAAACCUCUAACCAUCCUGUCCUAGCAAACCGUUGUUUGGCUAUGUCACCGCUUUUGCUCAGCCCCUCUUAUAGUGUUGUUAGUUGCAGGUGAAGAUGAAGUUUGUUCCUAGACGGAACAUGGAUAUUUUGGGAUAUCACAAUAUCUUCUGUUUAAAUUAAUGCACCUUAUAUACUUGGUAAAGGGUGGAAGGCUCGACCUUAUGCCUGGUGACUUGUUCCACUCUUGCCGCCCUAGUUUCCGUCAUACCGGUGUUAUGUUCCUUGAUUUUGCGUUCCUUACACGGUUGGGUGAUUUAUGGGACCCCCUUAACAGUUCGCUUUGAAUAAAACUCCUCCAGCAAGGCCCAAACUUGGUUUUACCAUUUGCCACCUAAGCCCUUUUCCCUUGGGUUUUCGCGAGCCCAAGGGUCAUCUUUAUGUAACCCCCCCCCCCGGGCCAGUGCUCCUUCGAGUGUUGGUCCGAACUGAGCAGCCUGUGGGGCCACCUCGGGGCAACUUGAGGGUUGGUUUUACUCGUAGCUUGACUCAUCCGGUGUGCCCUGAGAACGAGAUAUGUGCAGCUCCUAUCGGGAUUUGUUGGCACUUCGGGCGGCUUUGCUGGUCUUGUUUUACCAUUGUCGAAAUGUUUUGCGAACCGGAAUUCCGAGACUGAUCAGGUCUUCCCGGGAGAAGGUCUAUUCCUUCGUUGACCGUGAGAGCUUGUGAUGGGCUGAGUUGGGACACCCCUGCAGGGUAUAUAAUCUUUCGAAAGCCGUGCCCGCGGUUAUGAGGCAGAUGGGAAUUUGUUAAUGUCCGGUUGUAGAUAACUUGACAGUUGACCUCUUUAAAAUGCAUUAACAGCGUGUGUAGCCGUGAUGGUCUCUUCUCGGCGGAGUCCGGGAAGUGAACAUGGUUUGAGUUAUGUUUGCCGUAAGUAGUUUCAGGAUCACUUCUUGAUCACUUCUAGCUUCUCGACUGACGCGUUGCUUCUCUUCUCGCUCUCACUUGCGUAUGUUAGCCACCAUAUAUGCUUAGUGCUUGCCGCAGCUCCACCAUAUUUUACCCCUUACCUACCUAUGAGCUUAAAUAGUCUUGAUCUCGCGGGUGUGAGAUUGCUGAGUCCCUGUGGCUCACAGAUUCUACCAAAACAGAUGCAGGUGCCGAGGAUACCGACGCAGAUGGUGCAACUGAGCUGAAGUGGGAAUUUGAUGAGGCCCUUGGUCGUUACUAUGUAUCGUUUCCAGAUGAUCAGUAGAGGAGCCCAGUCGGGACGAUCGGGGAUCUAGCAUUUGGGGUUGUCUUCUUUUCAUUUGAACUUGACCGUAGCCGGUCUAUGAGUGUAUUUGAAUGAUGUAUGAUCUUAAUUUAUGUAUUGUGUGAAGUGGCGAUUGUAAGCCAACUCUCUUUAUCCCAUUCUUGUUCAUUACAUGGGAUUGUGUGAAGAUGACCCUUCUUGCGACAAAACCACCAUGCAGUUAUGCCUCUAAGUCAUGCUUCGACACAUGUGAGAUAUAGCCGCAUCGUGGGUGUUACAGGCGAUCAGGUUUUUGGGG